RNAcentral lists this unclassified non-coding RNA (259 nucleotides) under Hevea brasiliensis (rubber tree). Lineage: Eukaryota; Viridiplantae; Streptophyta; Magnoliopsida; Malpighiales; Euphorbiaceae. The record is from RNAcentral.
UAAAAAAAUUAUAAAAAAAAAAGCAACAAUCUUUUAGUUACGGAUAAAACACUAUAUCAGGAAACGAAACACGAAUCUGCUAAAAUCCGUGCAUAAUUCACAUAAACCUAAUCCAUAACACAAAAUUAAAAAAGAACAUAAACAAUACAAGCACACCAGGAUUAUACCCAAAACUCAACAGAUAUCAAUGGAUAAUUCAGCUAUUAAAUAUAAGAGAAAGAAUAACAAUACUAACAUGAAAGAGACGAAGCGAAUAAAG